GCCCUCGUAGAUCAGUUGGUAGAUCCCUCCCUUAUCAUGGUUUUCGAAUCGUAGAAUUUCAGGGAGCGCCGUGGGUUCGACUCCCACCGCGGGCG
Mycena polygramma is the source of this 95-nucleotide non-coding RNA. NCBI's taxonomy places the organism in Eukaryota, Fungi, Basidiomycota, Agaricomycetes, Agaricales, Mycenaceae. The record is from the annotation of a GenBank genome assembly.